GGGCGCGUCGUCUAGCUAGGACAGGGCGCCGGCCUUCGGAGUCGGAUGUCGCAGGUUCGAAUCCUGCCGCGCCCGCCA
This 78-nucleotide transfer RNA is filed under the name Candidatus Thorarchaeota archaeon. Its description in RNAcentral is "tRNA-Arg". It matches the Rfam family "tRNA". From Rfam's summary of the family: Transfer RNA (tRNA) molecules are approximately 80 nucleotides in length. Their secondary structure includes four short double-helical elements and three loops (D, anti-codon, and T loops). Lineage: Archaea; Promethearchaeati; Candidatus Thorarchaeota. The record is from RNAcentral.